This 328-nucleotide ribosomal RNA is filed under the name uncultured eukaryote. RNAcentral describes it as "partial 18S ribosomal RNA". It matches the Rfam family "Eukaryotic small subunit ribosomal RNA", at positions 1470 to 1796 of the family's 1831-position model. The record is from RNAcentral.
CCCUUAGAUGUCCUGGGCCGCACGCGCGCUACACUGAUGCAUGCAACGAGUUUAUAACCUUGGCCUGAAAGGUCUGGGUAAUCUUUUGAACGUGCAUCGUGAUAGGGAUAGAUUAUUGCAAUUGUUAAUCUUGAACGAGGAAUUCCUAGUAAACGCGAGUCAUCAGCUCGCAUUGAUUACGUCCCUGCCCUUUGUACACACCGCCCGUCGCACCUACCGAUUGAAUGGUUCGGUGAAGAUCUCGGACUUCGAUAUUUAUUCUUUAUUGAGUUUAUAUUGUGGGAAGUUAUCUAAACCUAAUCAUUUAGAGGAAGGUGAAGUCGUAACA